Molecule: ribosomal RNA, 193 nt
Filed under: uncultured bacterium
Lineage: Bacteria
Description: partial 16S ribosomal RNA
Rfam family: Bacterial small subunit ribosomal RNA
Source: RNAcentral
CCUACGGGAGGCAGCAGUGGGGAAUUUUGGACAAUGGGCACAAGCCUGAUCCAGCAAUGCCGCGUGCAGGAAGAAGGCCUUCGGGUUGUAAACUGCUUUUGUCAGGGAAGAAAUCCUCUGGGUUAAUACCUCGGGGGGAUGACGGUACCUGAAGAAUAAGCACCGGCUAACUACGUGCCAGCAGCCGCGGUAA